RNAcentral lists this ribosomal RNA (538 nucleotides) under uncultured bacterium. RNAcentral describes it as "bacterial SSU rRNA". It matches the Rfam family "Bacterial small subunit ribosomal RNA", at positions 391 to 920 of the family's 1533-position model. The record is from RNAcentral.
CCGAUGCCGCGUGAGUGAAGAAGGCCUUCGGGUUGUAAAGCUCUUUCAGCCGGAAGAAAGCGCACUCUCUAACAUAGGGUGUGGAUGACGGUACCGGAAGAAGAAGCACCGGCUAACUACGUGCCAGCAGCCGCGGUAAUACGUAGGGUGCGAGCGUUAAUCGGAAUUACUGGGCGUAAAGGGUGCGCAGGCGGUUUUGUAAGACAGAUGUGAAAUCCCCGGGCUUAACCUGGGAACUGCGUUUGUGACUGCAAGGCUAGAGUACGGCAGAGGGGGGUGGAAUUCCGCGUGUAGCAGUGAAAUGCGUAGAUAUGCGGAGGAACACCGAUGGCGAAGGCAACCCCCUGGGCCUGUACUGACGCUCAUGCACGAAAGCGUGGGGAGCAAACAGGAUUAGAUACCCUGGUAGUCCACGCCCUAAACGAUGUCAACUAGUCGUUCGGAGCAGCAAUGCACUGAGUGACGCAGCUAACGCGUGAAGUUGACCGCCUGGGGAGUACGGCCGCAAGGUUAAAAACUCAAAGGAAUUGACGGGGAC